GACGGCGUGGCGCAGUGGUCUACCGCGGUAGACUAGAAUCAAUCUAAUUAUCUACUCCUCUCUGAGGGCGCAGGUUCGAGUCCUGCCGCCGUCG
Molecule: non-coding RNA, 94 nt
Organism: Microbotryomycetes sp. JL221
Lineage: Eukaryota; Fungi; Basidiomycota; Microbotryomycetes
Source: the annotation of a GenBank genome assembly